AUUGAACGCUGGCGGCAGGCCUAACACAUGCAAGUCGAGCGGAUGAAGGGAGCUUGCUCCUGGAUUCAGCGGCGGACGGGUGAGUAAUGCCUAGGAAUCUGCCUGGUAGUGGGGGAUAACGUCCGGAAACGGGCGCUAAUACCGCAUACGUCCUGAGGGAGAAAGUGGGGGAUCUUCGGACCUCACGCUAUCAGAUGAGCCUAGGUCGGAUUAGCUAGUUGGUGGGGUAAAGGCCUACCAAGGCGACGAUCCGUAACUGGUCUGAGAGGAUGAUCAGUCACACUGGAACUUAGACACGGUCCAGACUCCUACGGGAGGCAGCAGUGGGGAAUAUUGGACAAUGGGCGAAAGCCUGAUCCAGCCAUGCCGCGUGUGUGAAGAAGGUCUUCGGAUUGUAAAGCACUUUAAGUUGGGAGGAAGGGCAGUAAGUUAACACCUUGCUGUUUUGACGUUACCAACAGAAUAAGCACCGGCUAACUUCGUG
This 484-nucleotide ribosomal RNA is filed under the name uncultured bacterium. Its description in RNAcentral is "partial 16S ribosomal RNA". It matches the Rfam family "Bacterial small subunit ribosomal RNA", at positions 30 to 507 of the family's 1533-position model. The record is from RNAcentral.